ACCGGAAACCGUUUGAUCAGGAUA
RNAcentral lists this small RNA (24 nucleotides) under Arabidopsis thaliana (thale cress). Lineage: Eukaryota; Viridiplantae; Streptophyta; Magnoliopsida; Brassicales; Brassicaceae. The record is from RNAcentral.